UGCAAGUCGAGCGCGAAUGGAGCAAUCCUAGUAGAGCGGCGCACGGGUGCGUAACACGUGGAUAAUCUGCCUGGAAGCUUGGGAUAACUAGUCGAAAGAUUAGCUAAUACCAAAUAAGCCCACAGAGACUUCGGUCUUCGAGGGAAAAGGUGGCCUCUGUAUACAAGCUAUCACUUCUAGAUGAGUCCGCGGCCCAUCAGCUAGUUGGCGGGGUAACGGCCCACCAAGGCAACGACGGGUAGCUGGUCUGAGAGGACGAUCAGCCACACUGGAACUGAGACACGGUCCAGACUCCUACGGGAGGCAGCAGUGGGGAAUUUUGCACAAUGGGCGAAAGCCUGAUGCAGCAACGCCGCGUGUGUGAUGAAGGUUUUCGGAUCGUAAAGCACUUUCGACCGGGACGAACACCCUUUGGCUAACAUCCAAAGGCUUGACGGUACCGGGAGAAGAAGCACCGGCUAACUCUGUGCCAGCAGCCGCGGUAAUACAGAGGGUGCAAGCGUUGUUCGGGAUUAUUGGGCGUAAAGCGCGUGUAGGCGGCUUUGCAAGUCGGGUGUGAAAGCCCUCAGCUCAACUGAGGAAGUGCGCCCGAAACUGCAUAGCUUGAGUACCGGAGAGGAUGGUGGAAUUCCCCAAGUAGAGGUGAAAUUCGUAGAUUAUGGGGAGGAACACCGGUGGCGAAGGCGACCAUCUGGACCGGAUACUGACGCUGAGACGCGAAAGCGUGGGUAGCAAACAGGAUUAGAUACCCUGGUAGUCCACGCCAUAAACGAUGAGAACUAGGUGUCGGGGGUGUUGACCCCUGCGGUGCCGUAGCUAACGCAUUAAGUUCUCCGCCUGGGAAGUACGGCCGCAAGGCUAAA
Molecule: ribosomal RNA, 863 nt
Filed under: uncultured Allostigmatella sp.
Lineage: Bacteria; Pseudomonadati; Myxococcota; Myxococcia; Myxococcales; Archangiaceae
Description: bacterial SSU rRNA
Rfam family: Bacterial small subunit ribosomal RNA
Source: RNAcentral